AGAGUGCACCUGCGAUCCUCGCACCUCUCUGGACACCAGCUGCACCGCCUCAGGUCACUGUCACUGCCGGCCCAGCUACAGCGGAGCCACAUGCGAGCAGUGUGCUCCCGGUUACUAUGGUUACCCAGCCUGCACCCCCUGUCAGUGCUCUGCAGAGGGCUCUCGUUACACCAGCUGUGACCAGGUGACGGGACAGUGUGUGUGUCUGCCCAACGUGGUCGGACUGAGGUGUGACAGCUGUGCACACGGUGCCUACGGCUUCCCCAACUGCCAGACCGGUACCUGUCAUCCUGCCGGCUCCGUCCAGUACGUGGUGCAGCCUCCGGUCGGUCAGUGUGAGUGUCGUCACAAUGUGGAGGGUCCAGCCUGCGACCAGUGCAAACCUCUGUACUGGAGCCUGUCGUACGACACUCCUGACGGGUGCACCAACUGUGAGUGUCACACUGCAGGGACUCUCAGUGGCGUGGCAGAGUGUGCACAGG
This is a non-coding RNA of Paralichthys olivaceus (Japanese flounder), 482 nucleotides long. The record is from RefSeq and is a predicted model, not a curated record. Lineage: Eukaryota; Metazoa; Chordata; Actinopteri; Pleuronectiformes; Paralichthyidae.